UGUAGCUCAGUGGUAGAGCAUGUGCUUUGCAUGCACAAGACCCUGGGUUCAAUCCCCUGUA
Molecule: transfer RNA, 61 nt
Filed under: Camelus bactrianus (Bactrian camel)
Lineage: Eukaryota; Metazoa; Chordata; Mammalia; Artiodactyla; Camelidae
Also listed under: 2 other names
Rfam family: tRNA
About the family: Transfer RNA (tRNA) molecules are approximately 80 nucleotides in length. Their secondary structure includes four short double-helical elements and three loops (D, anti-codon, and T loops).
Source: Rfam by way of RNAcentral